Molecule: ribosomal RNA, 425 nt
Filed under: uncultured bacterium
Lineage: Bacteria
Description: partial 16S ribosomal RNA
Rfam family: Bacterial small subunit ribosomal RNA
Source: RNAcentral
GUGGGGAAUAUUGGGCAAUGGGCGAAAGCCUGACCCAGCAACGCCGCGUGAAGAAAGAAGGUCUUCGGAUCGUAAACUUCUAUCCUUGGUGAAGAUAAUGACGGUAGCCGAGAAGGAAGCCCCGGCUAACUACGUGCCAGCAGCCGCGGUAAUACGUAGGGGGCAAGCGUUGUCCGGAAUGAUUGGGCGUAAAGGGCGCGUAGGCGGCCUGGUAAGUCUGGAGUGAAAGUCCUGCUUUUAAGGUGGGAAUUGCUUUGGAUACUGUCGGGCUUGAGUGCAGGAGAGGUAAGUGGAAUUCCCGGUGUAGCGGUGAAAUGCGUAGAGAUCGGGAGGAACACCAGUGGCGAAGGCGACUUACUGGACUGUAACUGACGCUGAGGCGCGAAAGUGUGGGGAGCAAACAGGAUUAGAAACCCGGGUAGUCC